RNAcentral lists this ribosomal RNA (383 nucleotides) under uncultured eukaryote. RNAcentral describes it as "SSU rRNA". It matches the Rfam family "Eukaryotic small subunit ribosomal RNA", at positions 587 to 972 of the family's 1831-position model. The record is from RNAcentral.
AGCUCCAAUAGCGUAUAUUAAAUUUGUUGCAGUUAAAAAGCUCGUAGUUGAAAUUCUGAUCAAAACUUUUGGUCUUGCACUUGGUGCAGGUAUCAUUUUGCAUUUGAUCAUUUUUGGGAGAUAUCCAACUGGUAUUAAGUUAUUGGUUGGAGACAGCCCAUCGUUUACUGUGAAGAAAAUAGAGUGUUCAAAGCAGGCUUAAGCCAAUGAAUACAUUAGCAUGGAAUAAUGAAAUAAGAUUUUGUUGCUAUUUUGUUGGUUUAUGUAACAUUAUAAUGAUUAAGAGGGACUGUUGGGGGUAUUUGUAUUCCACUGUCAGAGGUGAAAUUCUUGGAUUUUUGGAAGACACACAACUGCGAAAGCAUUUACCAAGGAUGUUUUCA